Molecule: ribosomal RNA, 118 nt
Filed under: Salmo salar (Atlantic salmon)
Lineage: Eukaryota; Metazoa; Chordata; Actinopteri; Salmoniformes; Salmonidae
Source: RNAcentral
GCUACGGCCAUAUCAGCCUGGGUACGCCCGAUCUCGUCUGAUCUCAGAAGCUAAGCAGGGUCGGGCCUGGUUAGUACUUGGAUGGGAGACCGCCUGGGUAUACCAGGUGCUGUAAGCA